This is a microRNA precursor of Oreochromis aureus, 59 nucleotides long. Lineage: Eukaryota; Metazoa; Chordata; Actinopteri; Cichliformes; Cichlidae. The record is from Ensembl.
AAGAAACUUUUGGCUUAGAUGUAAUGCAAUGUGGACAUCUGGUCACUCUUUUCUUCCCU